This 71-nucleotide transfer RNA is filed under the name Candidatus Pacearchaeota archaeon. RNAcentral's name for it is "tRNA-Ala". It matches the Rfam family "tRNA". From Rfam's summary of the family: Transfer RNA (tRNA) molecules are approximately 80 nucleotides in length. Their secondary structure includes four short double-helical elements and three loops (D, anti-codon, and T loops). The record is from RNAcentral. Lineage: Archaea; Nanobdellati.
GGGCCUGUAGGAUAGUGGUAAUCCACUCGAAUGGCAUUCGAGAAAUCCGAGUUCGAUUCUCGGCAGGUCCA